GACGUAGGGCGCGAGCGUUGUCCGGAUUUAUUGGGCGUAAAGAGCUCGUAGGCGGCUUGUCGCGUCGACCGUGAAAACUUAAGGCUCAACCCUAAGCCUGCGGUCGAUACGGGCAGGCUAGAGUUCGGUAGGGGAGACUGGAAUUCCUGGUGUAGCGGUGAAAUGCGCAGAUAUCAGGAGGAACACCGGUGGCGAAGGCGGGUCUCUGGGCCGAUACUGACGCUGAGGAGCGAAAGCGUGGGGAGCGAACAGG
RNAcentral lists this ribosomal RNA (253 nucleotides) under uncultured bacterium. RNAcentral's name for it is "partial 16S ribosomal RNA". It matches the Rfam family "Bacterial small subunit ribosomal RNA", at positions 524 to 776 of the family's 1533-position model. The record is from RNAcentral.